AACUCACCUAAAAGCACAUCCAUCUCUAACUUCCAUGUCUCAGUCUCAUUCAAUUGCUUCUGGAGCUCAGAGUGCAAUGCUUCCUCUUGCAUCUUUAGCUUUUCAAGCUCACCACGCGAUUGCUGAAGCCCUUCCUGCAAUAGCAGACUGGCCUCAAAGAGGUGCAUGUUUUCUGUGCGCAGUUGGUUUCUGUCAGCACACAACUUUAGGAUCUUCUUUUCUUGGUCCUCCAUAAUUAUUUUACUCCCAAUAAGUUCUCUGCUCAAGUUCUUCAAAAUUUGAUGCAAUACAGCUUUCUCAGUUUCAGUAAGA
Molecule: unclassified non-coding RNA, 312 nt
Filed under: Hevea brasiliensis (rubber tree)
Lineage: Eukaryota; Viridiplantae; Streptophyta; Magnoliopsida; Malpighiales; Euphorbiaceae
Source: RNAcentral